RNAcentral lists this ribosomal RNA (358 nucleotides) under Klebsiella pneumoniae. RNAcentral describes it as "partial 23S ribosomal RNA". It matches the Rfam family "Bacterial large subunit ribosomal RNA", at positions 2585 to 2925 of the family's 2925-position model. Lineage: Bacteria; Pseudomonadati; Pseudomonadota; Gammaproteobacteria; Enterobacterales; Enterobacteriaceae. RNAcentral also lists the same sequence under 1 other name. The record is from RNAcentral.
CAUUUAAAGUGGUACGCGAGCUGGGUUUAGAACGUCGUGAGACAGUUCGGUCCCUAUCUGCCGUGGGCGCUGGAGAAUUGAGGGGGGCUGCUCCUAGUACGAGAGGACCGGAGUGGACGCAUCACUGGUGUUCGGGUUGUCAUGCCAAUGGCACUGCCCGGUAGCUAAAUGCGGAAGAGAUAAGUGCUGAAAGCAUCUAAGCACGAAACUUGCCCCGAGAUGAGUUCUCCCUGAGACUUUAAGUCUCCUGAAGGAACGUUGAAGACGACGACGUUGAUAGGCCGGGUGUGUAAGCGCAGCGAUGCGUUGAGCUAACCGGUACUAAUGAACCGUGAGGCUUAACCUUACAACGCCGAAG